UGGACCAAUCGCCAGGUUGUCCCACACUAUAUAAACAACCGACAGCGCAUUUUCAAUCUCUUCAAUUCAAACUAAGUAGCAGCAAUGGUCCAUUAUCUUCUGAACAAACCCUAGACGUGGAUGAUGAACAAAUGGUUAUGCCGAAGGAUUACCAUGUCAGUCUGCAGGGGCUUCAUAGGCCUGGAUGAGAAUGAAGUAGUGGACAUUCUGAUGGGAGGUAAUUCAGGUGUACAACCUCUGCAUAGACCAGUGGGAUUGAGAAUGAACCACGGGACAUUCUAAGGUUAUUGUGCGUAUUGGAGGUGUGGCCAUUCAACGUGGGAUUGAAUGGCUGGUAUGGAGGUACAGGUGUGCCUCAACACUGCUUGGACAUGCACCAAUCCGGGUUGAUGGGUAUGGCUGUCACUAGUUCUUGCAACUGGCUCUGGGUGACGUGACCGGCACUGACCAACUACACUUCCAUGGUUAUAUGGCCCUAUUCAAGGGUUUUAAGGUCUUGGUACACCAACCAAGUUGGAUGAGGCCCCAUCUGUACACCAAGGUGUUUCCCUGGCUUGUCACUUAUUGCUUAUCGGUUGCAUCGGGACAUUGUUAGGAGACUUGUUCAGAAUGUGUGAAAUCGUUGGUUGACUAACUGUUCAAUUGUGUGGGACUUUGUCUCAAACCUGCAACCAACCUGUCCUGCAUUUCAUCAAUAAAUAUAACAAUCACCCUAAGUCAACUAAUUAGAUUCCAGCUUAAUUUAGACCUGGACGUCUGACAAAUUACACAAAUGCCAUAUAAUGCUAAAAUAUCUAUGGUAGCUUUGUGAAACUUGAAGGUGGCAUGCAUGUUUUUGGCCUGCCAAAACUGGGGGACUCCUUGAAGUUGAACUUAACAGGUACAUUCUGUCCUUCAGGGCAGAGCCCCAUGUUUGUGAAAUAAUUUGCCAUUAAUCUCUUUUCAAACAAUGUAAAUAAAGCUACAACCAUGGUCUUUG
This is a long non-coding RNA of Oncorhynchus mykiss (rainbow trout), 979 nucleotides long. RefSeq lists it as uncharacterized. NCBI's taxonomy places the organism in Eukaryota, Metazoa, Chordata, Actinopteri, Salmoniformes, Salmonidae. The record is from RefSeq and is a predicted model, not a curated record.